Molecule: ribosomal RNA, 468 nt
Filed under: uncultured bacterium
Lineage: Bacteria
Description: partial 16S ribosomal RNA
Rfam family: Bacterial small subunit ribosomal RNA
Source: RNAcentral
GACGAACGCUGGCGGCGUGCUUAACACAUGCAAGUCGAACGGAAAGGCCCUGCUUUUGUGGGGUGCUCGAGUGGCGAACGGGUGAGUAACACGUGAGUAACCUGCCCUUGACUUUGGGAUAACUUCAGGAAACUGGGGCUAAUACCGGAUAGGAGCUCCUGCUGCAUGGUGGGGGUUGGAAAGUUUCGGCGGUUGGGGAUGGACUCGCGGCUUAUCAGCUUGUUGGUGGGGUAGUGGCUUACCAAGGCUUUGACGGGUAGCCGGCCUGAGAGGGUGACCGGCCACAUUGGGACUGAGAUACGGCCCAGACUCCUACGGGAGGCAGCAGUGGGGAAUAUUGCACAAUGGGCGGAGGCCUGAUGCAGCAACGCCGCGUGCGGGAUGACGGCCUUCGGGUUGUAAACCGCCUUCGCCUGUGACGAAGCGUGAGUGACGGUAAUGGGUAAAGAAGCACCGGCUAACUACGUG